CAAAAUUCUAAAUGUAGGUAAAUUUAAGACUUGUUUAUCUUUACUACAUAUUGAUACGGGUUAAUUUCUUUUGCAGGUACUAAGGGCGAUGAUGUAGGGCAAAAACAUAACCGUCACAUGCAUUGUAGCAACUAGAGAGAACUAGGGGUUUGUGAAAAUAAGGUGAAGAUUGUGAAAUGUUUUUCAAAACCCAUUACUCACGUUUUUAAAAGUGACAAAAAUUAUUUUCUCCAUUUAUUGGCCACAUGGCAACUUUCCAUUGGCAACAUAUAUUUCACAAGGAUGUGUG
RNAcentral lists this long non-coding RNA (289 nucleotides) under Olea europaea subsp. europaea. Lineage: Eukaryota; Viridiplantae; Streptophyta; Magnoliopsida; Lamiales; Oleaceae. The record is from RNAcentral.